This is a microRNA precursor of Cercocebus atys (sooty mangabey), 74 nucleotides long. Lineage: Eukaryota; Metazoa; Chordata; Mammalia; Primates; Cercopithecidae. The record is from Ensembl.
UAGGCUGGUACAAAAGUAACUGUGGUUUUUGCCAUGACUUUCAGUAGCAAAAACUGCAGUUACUUUUGCACCAA